GUUAUAUGGUCAAGCGAAUAAGCGCACACGGUGGAUGCCUUGGCGGUCAGAGGCGAUGAAGGACGUGGCAGCCUGCGAAAAGUGCGGGGGAGCUGGCAACAAGCAUUGAUCCCGUAAUGUCCGAAUGGGGAAACCCACCGCUUUGAGCGGUAUCCUGCAGUGAAUACAUAGCUGCUGGAAGCGAACCCGGUGAACUGAAAUAUCUAAGUAACCGGAGGAAAAGAAAUCAACCGAGAUUCCCUGAGUAGCGACGAGCGAACGGGGAACAGCCCUUAAGCUGGUUUGGUUUUAGAAGAACAACCUGGAAAGGUUGGCCAUAGACGGUGAUAGCCCGGUAUUCGAAAAGGCCUUAUCAGUGAAAUCGAGUAGGGCGGGGCACGUGAAACCCUGUCUGAAUAUGGGGGGACCAUCCUCCAAGGCUAAAUACUACUGACCGACCGAUAGUGAACCAGUACCGUGAGGGAAAGGCGAAAAGAACCCCGGAGAGGGGAGUGAAAUAGAUCCUGAAACCGUGUGCGUACAAGCAGUAGGAGCUCGAAAGAGUGACUGCGUACCUUUUGUAUAAUGGGUCAGCGACUUACUGUUCGUGGCAAGCUUAACCGUAUAGGGGAGGCGAAGGGAAACCGAGUCUGAUAAGGGCGCAUAGUCGCGGGCAGUAGACCCGAAACCGGGUGAUCUAGUCAUGCCCAGGGUGAAGGUGCGGUAACACGCACUGGAGGCCCGAACCCACUCCCGUUGCAAAGGUAGGGGAUGAGGUGUGAUUAGGAGUGAAAAGCUAAUCGAACCCGGAGAUAGCUGGUUCUCCUCGAAAGCUAUUUAGGUAGCGCCUCAUAUGUAUCCUCUCGGGGGUAGAGCACUGUUAUGGCUAGGGGGUCAUCGCGACUUACCAAACCAUUGCAAACUCCGAAUACCGAGACGGACUGUAUGGGAGACACACGGCGGGUGCUAACGUCCGUCGUGAAAAGGGAAACAACCCAGACCCACAGCUAAGGUCCCAAAUUCAGUGCUAAGUGGAAAACCAUGUGGAAAGGCACAGACAGCCAGGAGGUUGGCUUAGAAGCAGCCACCCUUUAAAGAAAGCGUAAUAGCUCACUGGUCGAGUCGGUCUGCGGGGAAGAUUUAACGGGGCUAAAGCACUGAACCGAAGCUUGGGGUGCAUAACUUUGUUAUGCGCGGUAGAGGAGCGUUCCGUAAGCCGUUGAAGGUGGAUUGAGAAGUCUGCUGGAGGUAUCGGAAGUGCGAAUGCUGACAUGAGUAACGAUAAUGCGGGUGAAAAACCCGCACGCCGAAAGCCCAAGGUUUCCUUGCGCAACGUUAAUCGGCGCAGGGUGAGUCGGCCCCUAAGGCGAGGCAGAAAUGCGUAGUCGAUGGGAAGCAGGUUAAUAUUCCUGCACCUCGCGUAAGUGCGAUGGAGGGACGGAGAAGGUUAGGUGUACCAGGCGUUGGUUGUCCUGGGGAAAGGCGGUAGGUUUGGAUCUUUGGCAAAUCCGGGAUCCUUCAAGACCGAGCACCGAGACGAGUCUUUAGACGNNNNNNNNNNNNNNNNNNNNNNNNNNNNNNNNNNNNNNNNNNNNNNNNNNNNNNNNNNNNNNNNNNNNNNNNNNNNNNNNNNNNACGAGUCAUUAGACGAAGUCACUGAUACCACGCUUCCAGGAAAAGCUCCUAAGCUUCAGCUUACGCAGACCGUACCGUAAACCGACACAGGUGGGUAGGAUGAGAAUUCUCAGGCGCUUGAGAGAACUCGGGUGAAGGAACUAGGCAACAUGGCACCGUAACUUCGGGAGAAGGUGCACCACGACCGGUGGCCCAUGCGGGUAUAAGCUGGUGGUGGUCGAAGUGACCAGGCCGCUGCGACUGUUUAUCAAAAACACAGCACUCUGCAAACACGAAAGUGGACGUAUAGGGUGUGACGCCUGCCCGGUGCUGGAAGGUUAAUUGAUGGGGUCAGCCGAAAGGCGAAGCUCUUGAUCGAAGCCCCAGUAAACGGCGGCCGUAACUAUAACGGUCCUAAGGUAGCGAAAUUCCUUGUCGGGUAAGUUCCGACCUGCACGAAUGGCGUAACGACAGCGGCGCUGUCUCCACCCGAGACUCAGUGAAAUUGAAAUCGCUGUGAAGAUGCAGCGUUCCCGUGGCAAGACGGAAAGACCCCGUGAACCUUUACUAUAGCUUUACACUGAACGUUGAGUUCGUCUGUGUAGGAUAGGUGGGAGGCUAUGAAACUGUGGCGCCAGCUGCAGUGGAGCCAUCCUUGAAAUACCACCCUGUCGUGCUUGACGUUCUAACUGAGGUCCGUUAUCCGGAUCCAGGACCGUGUAUGGUGGGUAGUUUGACUGGGGCGGUCUCCUCCUAAAGAGUAACGGAGGAGCUCGAAGGUACGCUCAGCGCGGUCGGACAUCGCGCACUGUGUGCAAAGGCAUAAGCGUGCUUGACUGCAAGAUCGACGGAUCAAGCAGGUAGGAAACUAGGACUUAGUGAUCCGGUGGUUCUGUAUGGAAGGGCCAUCGCUCAACGGAUAAAAGGUACUCCGGGGAUAACAGGCUGAUACCGCCCAAGAGUUCAUAUCGACGGCGGUGUUUGGCACCUCGAUGUCGGCUCAUCACAUCCUGGGGCUGUAGUCGGUCCCAAGGGUAUGGCUGUUCGCCAUUUAAAGUGGUACGCGAGCUGGGUUCAGAACGUCGUGAGACAGUUCGGUCCCUAUCUGCCAUGGGCGUUGGAGAUUUGAGAGGGGCUGCUCCUAGUACGAGAGGACCGGAGUGGACGAACCUCUGGUGUUCCGGUUGUCACGCCAGUGGCAUUGCCGGGUAGCUAUGUUCGGAAGCGAUAACCGCUGAAAGCAUCUAAGCGGGAAGCGCGCCUCAAGAUGAGAUCUCCCGGGGCACAAGCCCCCUGAAGGAACCAUAUAGACUAUGUGGUUGAUAGGUCAGGUGUGUAAGUGCAGCAAUGCAUUGAGCUAACUGAUACUAAUGAUCCGUGUGGCUUGACCAUAUAACCUCA
This 2994-nucleotide ribosomal RNA is filed under the name Stenotrophomonas koreensis. RNAcentral describes it as "23S ribosomal RNA". It matches the Rfam family "Bacterial large subunit ribosomal RNA". Lineage: Bacteria; Pseudomonadati; Pseudomonadota; Gammaproteobacteria; Lysobacterales; Lysobacteraceae. The record is from RNAcentral.